This 253-nucleotide ribosomal RNA is filed under the name uncultured bacterium. RNAcentral's name for it is "partial 16S ribosomal RNA". It matches the Rfam family "Bacterial small subunit ribosomal RNA", at positions 524 to 776 of the family's 1533-position model. The record is from RNAcentral.
UACGUAGGUGGCAAGCGUUGUCCGGAUUUACUGGGCGUAAAGAGCGCGCAGGCGGUCGUUCAAGUCGCGUGUGAAAUCCCCCGGCUCAACCGGGGAAUGGCUGGGCAUACUGGCGAUCUUGAGCAGUCUAGGGGCAGAUGGAACAGACGGUGGAGCGGUGAAAUGCGUAGAUAUCGUCUGGAACGCCAAAGGUGAAAACAGUCUGCUGGGGACUUGCUGACGCUGAGACACGAAAGCCAGGGGAGCGAACGGG